AUUGAACGCUAGCGGGAUGCUUAACACAUGCAAGUCGAACGAGUGGCGGACGGGUGAGUAAUAUAUCGGAACCUGCCCAGUAGCGGGGGAUAACUACUCGAAAGAGUGGCUAAUACCGCAUACUAUUGUAUCGGCCGAGAUUGGAUUAGCUAGUUGGUGGGGUAAUGGCUCACCAAGGCAACGAUCCCUAGCUGGUCUGAGAGGAAGACCAGCCACACUGGGACUGAGACACGGCCCAGACUCCUACGGGAGGCAGCAGUGGGGAAUUUUGGACAAUGGGGGAAACCCUGAUCCAGCCAUCCCGCGUGUAUGAGAAGGCCUUCGGGUUGUAAAGUACUUUUGGCAGAGAAGCGGUAUCUGCAGAAUAAGCACCGGCUAACUACGUGCCAGCAGCCGCGGUAAUAC
Molecule: ribosomal RNA, 405 nt
Filed under: uncultured bacterium
Lineage: Bacteria
Description: partial 16S ribosomal RNA
Rfam family: Bacterial small subunit ribosomal RNA
Source: RNAcentral